RNAcentral lists this ribosomal RNA (564 nucleotides) under uncultured Glomeromycotina. Its description in RNAcentral is "SSU rRNA". It matches the Rfam family "Eukaryotic small subunit ribosomal RNA", at positions 548 to 1114 of the family's 1831-position model. The record is from RNAcentral. Lineage: Eukaryota; Fungi; Glomeromycota.
UUGGAGGGCAAGUCUGGUGCCAGCAGCCGCGGUAAUUCCAGCUCCAAUAGCGUAUAUUAAAGUUGUUGCAGUUAAAAAGCUCGUAGUUGAAUUUCGGGAUCAAUAUAUCGGUCGUGCCUUGGUACGUACUGGUAUCAUUGGUUUCUCCUUUCUGACGAACCAUGAUGUCAUUAAUUUGGUGUUAUGGGAAGUUAGGACUGUUACUUUGAAAAAAUUAGAGUGUUUAAAGCAGGCUUUAGCUUGAAUACAUUAGCAUGGAAUAAUGAAAUAGGGCGUUCGAACCUAUUUUGUUGGUUUCUAGGAUCAACGUAAUGAUUAAUAGGGAUAGUUGGGGGCAUUAGUAUUCAAUUGUCAGAGGUGAAAUUCUUGGAUUUAUUGAAGACUAACUACUGCGAAAGCAUUUGCCAAGGAUGUUUUCAUUAAUCAAGAACGAAAGUUAGGGGAUCGAAGACGAUCAGAUACCGUCGUAGUCUUAACCAUAAACUAUGCCGACUAGGGAUCGGAUGAUGUUAAUUUUUUAAUGACUCAUUCGGCGCCUUACGGGAAACCAAAGUGUUUGGGUUC